GACGAACGCUGGCGGCGUGCUUAACACAUGCAAGUCGAGCGGUAAGGCCCUUUCGGGGGUACACGAGCGGCGAACGGGUGAGUAACACGUGGGUGACCUGCCUCUAGCUCUGGGAUAAGCCUGGGAAGCUGAGUCUAAUACCGGAUAUGACCUCGCGGUGCAUGUUGCGGGGUGGAAAGCCUUGUGCGGCUAGGGAUGGGCCCGCGGCCUAUCAGCUUGUUGGUGGGGUGAUGGCCUACCAAGGCGACGACGGGUAGCCGGCCUGAGAGGGCGACCGGGCCACACUGGGACUGAGACACGGCCCAGACUCCUACGGGAGGCGAGCAGUGGGGAAUCUUGCGCAAUGGGCGAAAGCCUGACGCAGCGACGCCGCGUGAGGG
This 380-nucleotide ribosomal RNA is filed under the name uncultured bacterium. RNAcentral describes it as "bacterial SSU rRNA". It matches the Rfam family "Bacterial small subunit ribosomal RNA", at positions 28 to 407 of the family's 1533-position model. The record is from RNAcentral.